GAAGCCGUGCCUGAAUAAAGGGCCACCUUGAUGAGGUGGAUUACGGGGGUUAAAAUCCCCCCAGCUUCU
RNAcentral lists this transfer RNA (69 nucleotides) under Cryptopsaras couesii (triplewart seadevil). Its description in RNAcentral is "tRNA-Ile". It matches the Rfam family "tRNA". Rfam says of the family: Transfer RNA (tRNA) molecules are approximately 80 nucleotides in length. Lineage: Eukaryota; Metazoa; Chordata; Actinopteri; Lophiiformes; Ceratiidae. The record is from RNAcentral.